RNAcentral lists this ribosomal RNA (421 nucleotides) under uncultured bacterium. RNAcentral's name for it is "partial 16S ribosomal RNA". It matches the Rfam family "Bacterial small subunit ribosomal RNA", at positions 360 to 773 of the family's 1533-position model. The record is from RNAcentral.
AAUAUUGGACAAUGGGGUCAACCCUGAUCCAGCCAUGCUACGUGUCUGAAGAUGGUCUUCUGAUUUUUAAACCCUUUAAGUUGGGAGGAAGUGCUUUAGUUUAAUACCUUGAAGUUUUGACGUUACCCACCGAAUAAGCAUCUGCUAACUUUGUGCCAGCAGCCGCGGUAAUACAGAGGGUGCAAGCGUUAAUCGGAAUUACUGGGCGUAAAGCGCGCGUAGGUGGUUCAGUAAGAUGGGUGUGAAAUCCCCGGGCUUAACCUGGGAACUGCUUUCAUAACUGCUGAGCUAGAGUACGGUAGAGGGUAGUGGAAUUUCCUGUGUAGCGGUGAAAUGCGUAGAUAUAGGAAGGAACACCAGUGGCGAAGGCGACUACCUGGACUGAUACUGACACUGAGGUGCGAAAGCGUGGGGAGCAAAC